RNAcentral lists this ribosomal RNA (299 nucleotides) under uncultured bacterium. Its description in RNAcentral is "partial 16S ribosomal RNA". It matches the Rfam family "Bacterial small subunit ribosomal RNA", at positions 32 to 309 of the family's 1533-position model. The record is from RNAcentral.
AAUCAACGCUGGCGGCGUGCCUCAGACAUGCAAGUCGAACGCGAAAGUUCCCUUCGGGGGAUGAGUAGAGUGGCGCACGGGUGAGUAACACGUAGGUAAUCUACCUUUGGAUGGGGAAUAACAACCGGAAACGGUUGCUAAUACCGCAUAAUGCAGCGGCACCUAAUGGUGACAGUUGUUAAAGCGGGGGAUCGAAAGACCUCGCGUCUGAAGAGGAGCCUGCGGCGGAUUAGCUAGUUGGUAAGGUAACGGCUUACCAGGGCGACGGAUCCGUAGCCGGCCUGAGAGGGCGGUCGGCC